CCUACGGGAGGCAGCAGUGGGGAAUAUUGCGCAAUGGGCGUAAGCCUGACGCAGCGACGCCGCGUGAGGGAUGAAGGUCUUCGGAUCGUAAACCUCUGUCAGCAGGGAAGUACGGUCACUGUGCUAAUCAGCAGUGAAUUGACGGUACCUGCAAAGGAAGCACCGGCUAACUCCGUGCCAGCCGCCGCGGUAAUACGGAGGGUGCGAGCGUUAAUCGGAAUUACUGGGCGUAAAGCGCUCGUAGGCGGUAUGUCAAGUCAAGGGUGAAAUCCCCGGGCUCAACGUGGGAACUGCCUUUGAAACUGGCAAACUGGAGUGUGUGAGAGGAUAGUGGAAUUCCAGGUGUAGGAGUGAAAUCCGUAGAUAUCUGGAGGAACAUCAGUGGCGAAGGCGACUAUCUGGCACAUAACUGACGCUGAGGAGCGAAAGCGUGGGUAGCAAACAGGAUUAGAUACCCCAGUAGUC
This 465-nucleotide ribosomal RNA is filed under the name uncultured bacterium. RNAcentral's name for it is "partial 16S ribosomal RNA". It matches the Rfam family "Bacterial small subunit ribosomal RNA", at positions 338 to 795 of the family's 1533-position model. The record is from RNAcentral.